GAUGAACGCUGGCGGCGUGCCUAAUACAUGCAAGUCGAGCGAACGGACGAGAAGCUUGCUUCUCUGAUGUUAGCGGCGGACGGGUGAGUAACACGUGGAUAACCUACUUAUAAUACUGGGAUAACUUCGGGAAACCGUAGCUAAUACCGGAUAAUAUUUUGAACCGCAUGGUUCAAAAGUGAAAGACGGUUUUGCUGUCACUUAUAGAUGGAUCCGCGCUGCAUUAGCUAGUUGGUAAGGUAACGGCUUACCAAGGAAACGAUGCAUAGCCGACCUGAGAGGGUGAUCGGCCACACUGGAACUGAGACACGGUCCAGACUCCUACGGGAGGCAGCAGUAGGGAAUCUUGCGCAAUGGGCGAAAGCCUGACGGAGCAACGCCGCGUGAGUGAUGAAGGUCUUCGGAUCGUAAAACUCUGUUAUUAGGGAAGAACAUAUGUGUAAGUAACUGUGCACAUCUUGACGGUACCUAAUCAGAAAGCCACGGCUAACUACGUG
This 497-nucleotide ribosomal RNA is filed under the name uncultured bacterium. RNAcentral describes it as "partial 16S ribosomal RNA". It matches the Rfam family "Bacterial small subunit ribosomal RNA", at positions 28 to 507 of the family's 1533-position model. The record is from RNAcentral.